RNAcentral lists this ribosomal RNA (769 nucleotides) under uncultured bacterium. RNAcentral describes it as "bacterial SSU rRNA". It matches the Rfam family "Bacterial small subunit ribosomal RNA", at positions 28 to 810 of the family's 1533-position model. The record is from RNAcentral.
GACGAACGCUGGCGGCGCGCCUAACACAUGCAAGUCGAACGAGCGAGAGAGAGCUUGCUUUCUCGAGCGAGUGGCGAACGGGUGAGUAACGCGUGAGGAACCUGCCUCAAAGAGGGGGACAACAGUUGGAAACGACUGCUAAUACCGCAUAAGCCCACGGCUCGGCAUCGAGCAGAGGGAAAAGGAGCAAUCCGCUUUGAGAUGGCCUCGCGUCCGAUUAGCUAGUUGGUGAGGUAAUGGCCCACCAAGGCGACGAUCGGUAGCCGGACUGAGAGGUUGAACGGCCACAUUGGGACUGAGACACGGCCCAGACUCCUACGGGAGGCAGCAGUGGGGAAUAUUGCACAAUGGGGGAAACCCUGAUGCAGCGACGCCGCGUGGAGGAAGAAGGUCUUCGGAUUGUAAACUCCUGUUGUUGGGGAAGAUAAUGACGGUACCCAACAAGGAAGUGACGGCUAACUACGUGCCAGCAGCCGCGGUAAAACGUAGGUCACAAGCGUUGUCCGGAAUUACUGGGUGUAAAGGGAGCGCAGGCGGGAAGACAAGUUGGAAGUGAAAUCUAUGGGCUCAACCCAUAAACUGCUUUCAAAACUGUUUUUCUUGAGUAGUGCAGAGGUAGGCGGAAUUCCCGGUGUAGCGGUGGAAUGCGUAGAUAUCGGGAGGAACACCAGUGGCGAAGGCGGCCUACUGGGCACCAACUGACGCUGAGGCUCGAAAGUGUGGGUAGCAAACAGGAUUAGAUACCCUGGUAGUCCACACCGUAAACGAU